UUCAAAAGUUCUUUCAAAUGACAAGAUAAAAAUUUAUAUUGCCAUUUUCCUUUAACAGUAUAUAAUUCAGUGGUGGCGCCAGGGGGGACUAAGAUCGUACAGGCAAAAACCUCUCUGGGGAGGAGUCCGUGAAACGGUAUUUCCCAUCCAGCAUUUUGAGGAUACCAUGCGCUAGAAUGCAAUUGUCUUCAACAGGGGGAGGGGCGGGCUGGCUCCCCCGACAAGGGGCUGUAGUCUCUCCCUCCUCUGGUGCCACCGUUGAUAUAAUUGUUUUUGAUACUAAGAAUAAAUUGAAUUUAUACAAUUAUAACUGAAUGAUUAUUAGACUUUAGAAUCUAGUAUGCAAGUGAGCAUAGUGUUUAAUAAAGAUAUAGAAUAACUGCGUAAGAGUUUAAAAGUAAAUUGCAUGUUUUUAGUAAUGAUUAGUAGACUUUAGGGUUUGGCAUGAUUGUAUUGCUAAUUGAUAUUUUGAAAGUUGAUAAACGUGAAAACAACGCAUUUUUGUGGAAUUGAUUAACAUCAACAACGGUGAAAGUUAAAAAGGUCAAGAAAUUGAACAAGGUGACAAAUUGCAAAGAGAGUAGUGUUUAGUGACUUGAGUUACUUAUUUGCUGUUAUCUUUAUUUGCUUAUUGGCUUUACUGAAUUUUUAAAAUCUUAAAAGAUUUUAGAGUGGACUUGCAUUUAACAUUUUGUCUCAUGUAAUCAUAGUUUUCAAAUCGGUGGCAGAACAUUACAUAUAUAUCCUUGAUUUUCUUGCGCCAUGAUUAUGUAAUUUUAUAUAUAGUGG
Molecule: non-coding RNA, 789 nt
Organism: Paramuricea clavata
Lineage: Eukaryota; Metazoa; Cnidaria; Anthozoa; Malacalcyonacea; Plexauridae
Source: the annotation of a GenBank genome assembly